Long non-coding RNA from Rosa rugosa (rugosa rose), 861 nucleotides. RefSeq lists it as uncharacterized. The record is from RefSeq and is a predicted model, not a curated record. Lineage: Eukaryota; Viridiplantae; Streptophyta; Magnoliopsida; Rosales; Rosaceae. The transcript is spliced from 4 exons.
CUGAAUUAUAUUCCCUACUGACCUAAACCUAAAGUGAACUAAAUGUCUCGCACUCUCGCCUCAUUCUUCCCCCAAAGUCCCAAACGGCCAAACCCGAUCUGAGAGACUGAGAGAGAGGCCGCCAUCUCAAAGGCGAUCUGAACCGAACCCAGGCGCCUCCUCCGGCCGCUUCCGCCAUGUCCGCCAACACCAAGCCCUCUCUCUCUCUUCACUUCCUUUUUAGCCUUCAAUUCAUCGAUUUAACCCAAACUCGAUCUGAGAGAGACCUUCUCCUUCACAAAGCCGAUCUGUACCGAGCCCAGGCGCUCCUCCUCCGGCCGCUUCCGCCAUCUCCGCCAUCUCCAAGACCUCUCUCUCUUUGUCUCUUCACUUCAGUCUUAGCCUAAUUCAUCAAACUCGAUCUGAACCUUCAUUGAAAAUACUCGAUCUGAAGUUCCCAAACUAGUUCUGAACCUUCAGUUACAUACUCGAUCUGAACCUUCAGCUAGCUUACUCGAUCUGGGCAGGACUGGAGUCUUCCACCCGAUCUCCGACUCUAACCAAUCCGCCGCUUCUGAGCUCUUCACCCAUGGAUCCUUCAACAGUUUAGAAGAGGCGUAUGAAGCCCUGAGAUCAUUUGAGGUUCUCGGGAUUGAUAAGCCUGAUAUACGUGCCGCUACUUAAGUUCAGAAAAGGGGAAAGCUUCAACUAGAGUUGUGAUUGUUUGGUUACUAAGUUGGAUCUUGAACUGCUGGAUUAAAGACUGGAAGAAUGGCUACUAAGUUGCUGUAUUAGAAUUAGGACUUUCUAUUUCAUUGCGUAUUUGUACUUGAAUUUGGACUUCGUAUUUAAAUUUGGACAUUUUGUAUUUCAAUUGUAGCU